GACGAACGCUGGCGGCGUGCUUAACACAUGCAAGUCGAACGGAAAGGCCCUGCUUGCAGGGUGCUCGAGUGGCGAACGGGUGAGUAACACGUGGGUGAUCUGCCCCUUACUUUGGGAUAAGCCUGGGAAACUGGGUCUAAUACUGGAUAGGGCCAUGCUGUAGGUGGUGUGGUGGAAAGUUUAGUUUCGGUAAGGGAUGAGCUCGCGGCCUAUCAGCUUGUUGGUGGGGUAAUGGCCUACCAAGGCGUCGACGGGUAGCCGGCCUGAGAGGGUGGACGGCCACAUUGGGACUGAGAUACGGCCCAGACUCCUACGGGAGGCAGCAGUGGGGAAUAUUGCACAAUGGGCGCAAGCCUGAUGCAGCGACGCCGCGUGGGGGAUGACGGCCUUCGGGUUGUAAACUCCUUUCAGCCAUGACGAAGCCCUUGUGGUGACGGUAGUGGUAGAAGAAGCACCGGCUAACUACGUG
RNAcentral lists this ribosomal RNA (469 nucleotides) under uncultured bacterium. Its description in RNAcentral is "partial 16S ribosomal RNA". It matches the Rfam family "Bacterial small subunit ribosomal RNA", at positions 28 to 507 of the family's 1533-position model. The record is from RNAcentral.